GUGGGGAAUAUUGGGCAAUGGGCGCAAGCCUGACCCAGCAACGCCGCGUGAGGGAAGAAGGCUUUCGGGUUGUAAACCUCUGUCCUUGGUGACGAAGAAAGUGACGGUAGCCAAGGAGGAAGCCCCGGCUAACUACGUGCCAGCAGCCGCGGUAAUACGUAGGGGGCGAGCGUUGUCCGGAAUUACUGGGCGUAAAGGGUGCGUAGGUGGCCUUUUAAGUUGGAUGUGAAAUACCCGGGCUUAACUUGGGGGGUGCAUCUAAUACUGGGAGGCUAGAGUGCAGGAGAGGGAAGCGGAAUUCCUAGUGUAGCGGUGAAAUGCGUAGAUAUUAGGAAGAACACCAGUGGCGAAGGCGACUUUCUGGACGAAAACUGACGCUGAGGCGCGAAAGCCAGGGGAGCGAACGGGAUUAGAAACCCCGGUAGUCC
This 428-nucleotide ribosomal RNA is filed under the name uncultured bacterium. RNAcentral describes it as "partial 16S ribosomal RNA". It matches the Rfam family "Bacterial small subunit ribosomal RNA", at positions 354 to 796 of the family's 1533-position model. The record is from RNAcentral.